CAGCCGCCGCGGUAAUACGUAGGGUGCAAGCGUUAAUCGGAAUUACUGGGCGUAAAGCGUGCGCAGGCGAUUCUAUAAGACAGAUGUGAAAUCCCCGAGCUCAACCUGGGAACUGCAUUUGUGACUGUAGAGCUGGAGUGCGGCAGAGGGGGAUGGAAUUCCGCGUGUAGCAGUGAAAUGCGUAGAUAUGCGGAGGAACACCGAUGGCGAAGGCAAUCCCCUGGGCCUGGACUGACGCUCAUGCACGAAAGCGUGGGGAGCAAACAGGAUUAGAUACCCCCGUAGUCCCUGUCUCUUAUAC
This 301-nucleotide ribosomal RNA is filed under the name uncultured bacterium. RNAcentral describes it as "partial 16S ribosomal RNA". It matches the Rfam family "Bacterial small subunit ribosomal RNA", at positions 509 to 807 of the family's 1533-position model. The record is from RNAcentral.